CUUCACUGUACAUAGUUUGCACCAAGAAUAAAGCCUGGAAAAGACAGAACCCACCCACCACCUCAAUCAAGUGAUCAUGAGAUUUCUACUCAGGGAGGGAUACUCGACAGACGAAGAGGUCACCCUCCGAAUCGCCUAGUGGUUUAAGGCUGAAGUGUGCUGUGUUACCAGUGCUUGCACUUAUGAUGCCGGAGGUGUUAUCUGAUUGGCCACCUGCCUCCCACGUAAUCGUCAUGCCUACGGGGACAAAGUCAUUGACAGUGCACACCAAUAUUGCACCUAAGGGAACAAAAUAGAUAGACAGACAGAUGAAAUUCCUGGUUUUUUAAUGACUUUAUAUUACUGUUUUUAUGGUUUUUCUGAUAUUGCUUUACAGUUUUUAUGUUGCUUAGUGCACUAUUUAAGAUGUAAGCAGCUUAGAAACCUCUACUUUUCAUCUCUGUGCUUCCAGUCUUGCUUUUGUCUGCCCUUUGUUCUUCUCUACACCCUGUGAUUUUCCUUCUCUCUGACCCUCUUUCCCAUGCAUAUUCUCUUUUCGUGGAAUCAUAGAAUUCCAGAAUUGGAAGGGACCCCAAUGCUCAUCUAGUCCAACCCCCUGUAAUGUUGCUUACUUACUUCAUCAAAACUUUCUAGGCAUUACAAAUAUAGGGCAUCCUAAAACAUUUAACAUAUAUACAAAUAAACAGCCAUGUAAAAUAUAUAAUGAUGAGGAAUUUCAUUGGGAUUCCUUCCUGCUAAAUAGUGCCAUUUAGCACUCCAAGAGAUACUAUUAACAAAACCUCAGCCCCCCUUGCAGUUAAUUCCGGGUUAAUCGGAAAUUUUCAUUGUGCCGUGAUGUUAGACUACCCCAAAAAGGGGGGCAGCAUGUGUUUGCGUAGCAGGUUGUAAAAUGGACAGUAGAAAAGGAUAUGUUCUACAGUAUUUGGCACAUUCAAAGAACAUCCACAAUGUCUAUCAUUUCUGGGGAUGUUUAAAAAUCUGCCCUUGACAAAAGCUGAAGGAAAAACAUUCAGUCGGGCUACGAUAAAGGUCCUGAGUUGUACAGAAAUUAUUAUUUUCGAGAUAUGUGACCCUGUUAUCUUGGGGGAGCAAAUUUUAUUUACACCUGACUUGA
Molecule: non-coding RNA, 1114 nt
Organism: Podarcis muralis (Common wall lizard)
Lineage: Eukaryota; Metazoa; Chordata; Lepidosauria; Squamata; Lacertidae
Source: RefSeq, a predicted model, not a curated record